This 238-nucleotide long non-coding RNA is filed under the name Setaria viridis. RNAcentral's name for it is "long non-coding RNA (SVIR_LNC004515)". The record is from RNAcentral. Lineage: Eukaryota; Viridiplantae; Streptophyta; Magnoliopsida; Poales; Poaceae.
AGAGAUCACACAACCAUUGUUUUCACUCGCAAAUGAAUAACCAUCCUUCAUCAAGCAUGAAGGAGACAAAAUGUUUCGACUUAAACUAGGAACGAAAUAACAAUUAUUCAACUCCAUAAUAAAUCCUGACGGGAGGUCGAGUUGCAUCAUCCCGACGGUCAACGCAGCAACUCUUGCAUUAUUGCCCACGUGGAAAUCAACUUCUCCUCUUUCAAAGCUUCUACUUCUUAUCAUUCCC